GAUCCUGGCUCAGGAUGAACGCUAGCUACAGGCUUAACACAUGCAAGUCGAGGGGCAGCAUUUCAGUUUGCUUGCAAACUGGAGAUGGCGACCGGCGCACGGGUGAGUAACACGUAUCCGAACCUGCCGAUAACUCGGGAUAGCCUUUCGAAAGAAAGAGUUAAUACCCGAUGGUAUAAUCAGACCGCAUGGUCUUGUUAUUAAAGAAUUUCGGUUAUCGAUGGGGAUGCGUUCCAUUAGG
Molecule: ribosomal RNA, 241 nt
Filed under: uncultured bacterium
Lineage: Bacteria
Description: partial 16S ribosomal RNA
Rfam family: Bacterial small subunit ribosomal RNA
Source: RNAcentral